UACGUAGGUGGCAAGCGUUGUCCGGAUUUACUGGGUGUAAAGGGCGUGUAGCCGGGCUGACAAGUCAGAUGUGAAAUCCGGGGGCUCAACCCCCGAACUGCAUUUGAAACUGUUGGUCUUGAGUAUCGGAGAGGCAGGCGGAAAUCCUAGUGUAGCGGUGAAAUGCGUAGAUAUUAGGAGGAACACCAGUGGCGAAGGCGGCCUGAUGGACGACAACUGACGGUGAGGCUCGAAAGCGUGGGGAGCAAACAGG
This 253-nucleotide ribosomal RNA is filed under the name uncultured bacterium. RNAcentral's name for it is "partial 16S ribosomal RNA". It matches the Rfam family "Bacterial small subunit ribosomal RNA", at positions 524 to 776 of the family's 1533-position model. The record is from RNAcentral.